GGCGACCAUUUUGGCCCUUCGACAUCUUCAUGCCGCUCUCGCUCCUGCUCUCGUCACCCCAGCGAUCCCACCGGGCGGCGAGAUCUGCCUUAAGCCUGUUUAUCAGCCGCGGUCAUGAUUUCGGCCGAAGGCCAAAGGUUAGAACGCGUCGAAUUUCCCGCUUCUCACCGCUUCUCAAACCAUAAUUCCAUGACUACCGCAAUGCACGUAAUAAGGUGCGCGCACAGCCUGAAUCCCAUUGGCAAAUGGGCCAAAACCGGCG
Molecule: unclassified non-coding RNA, 262 nt
Filed under: Hevea brasiliensis (rubber tree)
Lineage: Eukaryota; Viridiplantae; Streptophyta; Magnoliopsida; Malpighiales; Euphorbiaceae
Source: RNAcentral